GCAGCCUAUCCAGAAUGUGCCUUCU
This 25-nucleotide non-coding RNA is filed under the name Mus musculus (house mouse). The record is from RNAcentral. Lineage: Eukaryota; Metazoa; Chordata; Mammalia; Rodentia; Muridae.